Molecule: small nuclear RNA, 22 nt
Filed under: Arabidopsis thaliana (thale cress)
Lineage: Eukaryota; Viridiplantae; Streptophyta; Magnoliopsida; Brassicales; Brassicaceae
Description: snRNA_11563
Source: RNAcentral
CCGGCCGGGGGACGGACUGGGA